RNAcentral lists this long non-coding RNA (7334 nucleotides) under Marmota monax (woodchuck). Lineage: Eukaryota; Metazoa; Chordata; Mammalia; Rodentia; Sciuridae. The record is from RNAcentral.
CCUGAUUGUGCCAGCUCACUCAGUACCCAGUCCUAUAGGAUAAUCCAGCUCUGAGGUGCGCAAACUGACCUCCCACUUCUCUUUAAUGUCAAAUCUGAGGUGGCAACUGGUUCCUUCUGCUAUCUGGAGGUUGCAGUGACCCCUCCAUCUAGAAGACCAGGGAUGUGCACCAUUGUUAGGGUGGCAGAUAGGGUACAAACUUAUGUAGUCACUGCUCUAAGGAUUUCUGGAGUGUCCACUAUCCCCAUUCCUGGGCUCCCAGUCAAGAAUGUAAUUGAAGCCCUAUGACAAUAGAGUGUGAAAGGAAAGAUGUCCCCUGGUGUCAAAUACCUUGGCCAGCCAAACCUAAAAGCACAGAGCAGAUGCUUGGCUUUAUUCCUGGUGCUGGCUGGGUCCCUAUGUCCUGCCCCAUACCAGAACUACUCUCUAGGCAAAAGUCAUAGCCAACUAAGGACUUCAAGCUCCUGCCUCCUCCAGAAUGCCACAAUCUGAUCCAGUGAGAACAGCCUGCCUCCUCCUGCUAACCCUCCUGUUUAAAGGCUAAAGAUAUGGAGGUAGGAGCUGUAAGUCCAAGAUAGGGGACCAUGAAGCAGCAUUUUAUAUGCUGAGGAUUUCACCAGAGGAGGACCAGGAUGUUGCUAUCUGAUGUCAGCUUUCAAGUGCUUUAGAGUCAGAGAGUAGAAUCAACAAGCAGGUGAGCUGGGUUUUCAUAGUGUCAUUGAGAAGUCCCCAGGAAACCUAACCUGGAAAGAAAACCCCUAUCACCUGGAGGAGACACUGGACCUGGGCACUCUGUUCUGGAUGCCACAAGGAGAGAUAACUCCCUGGACAGAUGCUGAUGGUUGCUCAUUCAGGGUCUAUUCAGGCUCCUCCUCUGUUUCCUGGAGGGGGGCUCUUAAUGCUGUUUACCUGUGCUGGAUUUUAGAAGCCUUGCUUCCUUGUGAUUUCAGGGGAAAGAUCUAUGAAGCUAUCUGGCCACUGCCCUGACCCAUCAUGAUUUUCCUGAGGAAAUGAAUGUCAAUGGUGGUCCUGAAGAGGAGAGCAAAAUAUCACAGCCUCACAGUGAGUAGGGAAGAGGCAAAGGGCAGCCUUUCCUUUGAAGCCCAGGGAGGGACUAUACAGGAUGAUUGUAGGGAUGCAAGAUUCAGGUGCGUUUCAAUAACAACACACCAAUGGGAGUUGUUCCUUGUUGAGUUUGCUGUGUCGGGGAUUAUACUAAAAACUUCAUAUGCAAUAACAUAUUUAACCAUGUCCCAAAUUUUAUGAUGCAGAUACUAUUAUCUUUCCAUUUGGCAGAUGGGGAAUCAAUCACAGAGAAAUUAAGUAGCUUACUUAAAGUCACAAAACCAGUAUACAGUAGAGGUGGCUUUCAAAUUCUGGUCUUUUUCAAAGCCUGGAUUUUACCCAGUACCUAGGCUGCCUCCUCAGCCUAGGUACUGGCUUCCUUUAUGACUGCUUCCUCCCACUAUCAAUGUUUAUUACCUAGCACUUGAGGGUUCUCCCCAAACUGAGUACCUGGGCAGUGCUUCUGAGUCCACAUAGCACAUACCCAUUAUUUACUCAUAUCAGUUAUGGGUCUAGACAAGGUUACAGGCAAGAAGAAUAGGUAGCUGUGGUGAACACGUGGCUUAAAGUUCCAUUUUUCAUAUUUGUGUUUCAUAGAGAUGAAGAGAGAAACAGAGAAUAACCUGUGGAGCUAGAUUUCUCUACCCCAACCAGUUUGAGAACAGUGUUUUGUUUCUUUCUUAAGAACCCAAAGUUGGGGGGGCCGGGGCGCGGCUCAAGAAAAGGCUGUCUAGUCCAGGUUGAAGCAGAAAUCACACACAGUUGAGAAGCAGCUUAAUUCUAUAUUUUACAUUAUGUCUGCAACUUAAAAGAAAGUUUUUUUUUCAAAGUGCAUGUUUAUUUCCCACAAGUCAUAAAAUAUCCGCAUUACAAAGAAUCUCUAAUCAGCCCUAGUUACGAAAAAUUAGAAAAGACCCAAAUGAUCAAAUAUGAGAGAACAAAUUAUGGCACAUUAGCUAGAUGAAUAUCGUAUAAUGAUAUCAUGAAGACUAGCUUAGCAAUAUAGGAAAGUACUUAUGCAAACGUUUUUGAAUACAAAAAUUUGAAUAAAAAGACAUACACACACUAGCAAACUACAUGGAAAACAGAAAAUCCUUCUUUUUAAAAGUGUUAAGAUUACAGGUAAUCUUUUUUGCUUUGUAGAUUUUCUCUAUUGUAUGAUUUAUAGCAAAUAAAAAACUCAAAAUGUAUACAUAUGGUAUAGUAUAUGGUAGCUUUUACUUUAGGCUCACAUUUUGCUUAUUUACCUUGCAACUCUGUAACCAAAUAGCUUUUCAUUUGAACUUGCAAAGUAUUGCAUGAAAUUUACAUAUUCCUUUAAAUAAACAACACACAUCUAUUCCUGUUAUACAAAUUGGGAUUAAUUCUUUAGGUUGGCAUCUUUUCCAAUCAAAUUUAAUUAUCCAUGUUUAUCAGUAAAAUUUUCUUUUCUUUUCUGUUUUGGAUAGGAAUAAUCAAAAUUAGAAAAGCAAAUGGCGAGCUCCCACCCCAGCCCAGCAGUUCCUGCUAAGGCAGCAGUGAAACCCAGCACACUGCCCUACUUUUCAUCUCUCUUGAAAGACUGGGAAAUGGGUUAUCUGGAGACACCCAGCACUCCUAACCUGUUAGGGAGGCUCUGAACUUGGCUGAGGCUUCUAAAGUCAGGUAACCCAAGAGGAUCAGAUCUUCAUUAUUCCAAGAAAUAGAGCUAGGACAUAUCCCAUGGAAGAGGAUGUUAGUGAACAUUCUGUUUUUGGUUUUUCCAGAGACCCAAGGCUAACUAGUGGUGUAGAAAGCUGAUUUUAUGGUCUCGGACAGUUUAUGCAACUGUUUGUUUAUAUUCUAUUCUUUCCUCUAAAGAUUAAAAGUUGCCUUAGGACAAAAGAAAAGGUUUGAUAGGUAAGACCAAAUAAUGGGAAAUAGGCAAGAGAGAGUGUUAAAAUGAGACUAUGGGAGAAGAAAGCUACAACAAUGAACAAAAACCUAGUGGACAAAGUAACUAGUAAAAACCAAAGCCUUUCUAAGCCAGUAGAGCUCAUUUCUAAGAUUUUAGAGGCCAGGGUGAGUCAUGAUUUGCCUGGGACUGGAGUGCCUUUGAGGAAAUCACACAGCAUGCCCCAGGGGUCUUGUUUUAGGGGUAUAAAAACCUUCCCAGAAGGGAGUAUGUCCGUUUCCCUUGUACUCCUGUAUCAUCUACUUUCAAUUUGCCAUGUCAUCAUUUUUUUAAGUGUGUGUGCAUAUAUUUAGUUGCUUCCUCUGGAUUUCACAGACUCCUUGAUGCCAAGAAGUCUAUUUUAUACCUUUUCUGUAUCAUCCUGCAACUCCCAAUGUACAGUUCCUCAAAUAAUGUCUUUUAAAAAUAGAAAUGGAAUUUAAUUCUUAGUCUUUUAGACCAAAUUAUAAAGCUUACUUUCCAUAUAUUCCCUAAUUAAUAAAUGACAACAUGGAAGCUCUUUUGCAUCUGAUAGUGAGUAGAAUAAGAGGUUAGAGUAAUAAAAAAUUUCAGGAAAUGGUAGGGGAAUGAAGAUGUUCCAGAUAGUUUUUAAGAAGGGGGUUAGCAACUCAAGAGAGGUAAGCAACUUUGCCAAGAUUUGACACCAGAAAAAAUUCAUUGGGACUCAUUUUUUUUUUUUACUUUAUUAUAUUCUUAUUACUAGACAAAUUACUCUGCCUUUGUUUCUUCUUAAUUUGGGGGGCAGGGCAGGCACUGAGGUUUAAACCUAGGGGUGCUUAACCACUGAACCACAUCUCCAGCUCUUUUAAAUAUUUUAGAGACAGGGUCUCACUGAGUUGCUUAGGGCCUCACCAAGUUGCUGAGGCUGGCUUUGAAUUCACAAUCCUCCUGCCUCAACCUCCUGAGCCACUGGGAUUGCAGGUGUGUGCCAUCGUACCUGGCCCUAAUUUGUUGAGAAGGGGCUGGACAGUCCUGAGUUGUUCUGGAAAGGAGUGUUGGUGGACUACAGCAGGAAAACAAAACAUGGCAGUGAGCCUUCAAGCAGAACAAGCUAGCAGUUCUCAUGGAACAAGCUAGCAGUUCUCAUUUUCGAACUGCCUGGUCUCCCAAGAGGCAGAUAUGCCAGCACCUCCCUAACCCCGCCCCCUGCCCUGCCUCUCCCCCACCAAUCCCAUUGCAUUGUUCCAAUUUUUGUGUGGAUCACUGAGCUUUUAGCAAUACUCAGUCCUUUUGGGGGAUAGAUAGUGAAGACGUUCACAUUAUGCUCUUGACCAAAGCAUGAUCUUUUAAGUAGUUCCUUGACAAUUGUUUUAUGCGAACCAUGGUUUUCACGGAGGAACUGAACUUGAGACGGGUAUGGAGUGUGGGUUCUGGUGCAGGAUCUAGUAAACCCACUGAAACUCAGCUCACUGGAACACUGAAGGGCAUUAUCAUCCCCAGGCACCUGGGAGUGGAUUUUCAAUUUUUGAGUGUAAAAGAGAGUUCCACUGGAAAGGCAGUAUUCCAAAUCCUUAGAGUUGGAAAUAGAUUGAGACUCACCAUCAUGCAGUAUGCUGGUGUCUCUGUACCCUUCCCCAUGCAGCAUCCACUAAGAGGAGGUGGCUUUUCAUUCCUCUGGCCCACCCAUGCCCAGCAGGCCCCUGGGAAAAUGGAGGGAGAGCUGCUCCUCUGUCACACAUACAAAAGACACCUUACCUUUUGUGCCAUCAGCUUUCCUCUGAACAGGGGCAUGGAUUCCACAGUGGUCCCCUGAUGACUCCUCCAGAAAGAAUUAAGGCUGCACUGCCUUCCUUUACAUCAAAGCCAGACCUUGGCGCAGUAUCCUGUGUUCUGUCUACUUGCAAUCAGCAGCAAAUCCAAAUAUAGUUUGAGAAUGGUGUCACAGAAACCUAUUCUCAAGGGUAGGCGUUUUGAUUAAAAGUGAAAUAUGAACCUAUGACGUUCACCUCCUGUGCACAAAUGAACAACUUUGAAGCUAUUACUGGUGCUUGUUUCUGGGUUAUUUUUCCAAUCAACAAACAUUAUAUCUUUCAUGUAUGGGGCAUCCUGGCCAUACAAUGAAUAGCCUCCAGGUCAAUGGUACUGGGGAUUUUCAUUUCAAAAGAAAAAAGUAGUUUCAGCUUGGCUAAGGGCACAAUGCAGAAGGGAAGAAAGCCCAGGGCUGAGGAACACAUUGCCACAUCUAGUUCUCAGCUAGCCCCGCUGCUGAGCUGAACUCAACCAGCUGAAUGUCUUGGAGCAAGCCACUUAAUCUCUCCAGGCCUCCUUUUCCUCUGGCCUUUGUGGUCAGAAGGGGCAAUGUUUUGCUGAAUCAGCAUUUCAUUCAGGGCAUCAGCAUUGGCAGGCUCUGAUAAGGCCCUGACUCAACUCUUUGUUCUCCAUGGCCUUGGAAACAGAUGGAAAUAAAAUUCUCACAGGCAGCCAGAACCAGCCUUAUCCUCUGGGUUGAUGCCCAUUUGUCAUAAAUUUGGCAAAGUUACAUUCUUAUUAGUGAACUCUCAACAUAGCUUCAUUCAUUGUGUGACACACAAAAUUUAUGACAUCUGUUGGAGGAAUGUAGCUCUGAAAACCCUCAAUGUCAAAAAGUAUAUAUAGUGGAGGGAACAUUUCUCAUACUGCCUGACAUUUCUGAUUUCUUUCUAAACACCUGCUAAUUUGGGAAAUGAUGACAAAAACUAAUGGUUUUUGUUUUGAAGUGAGGAUUCAGAAUAUUCUUUUCCUGUAUACACAUCUGAUUGUAGACUUUUUAAAAUUACAUCUAUAAAUAUUGUUGACAAGUUGAGAAUAUGGUUAAGAUACACUCAAAUAUUUGUUUAAGAAAAAAUGAUUUUUUUUUCCUGGAGAAGAAAAAAAAAUUCAGGCCCAAAAUGUUAAAUUAUGGAGUAUAAAUACCAGCAUACACAAAAGGUGAAUUUUGUUUCUGUUAAUGAAUCUCUAGGAAAAGUAGGGGAACUGUUCUCUUCACUGCUAAUUGCAAAAAAGUUCAGAAUGUAUUCACCAAUGCUUUCCUCUUACUAAUGGAUUAUAGAAGUCUCAUAAGGAAUUUAUGUUUUUUGAAGAUGUUUAUAUCCUCCCCUAUACCCUUUUCUCUGUGGGUUCUAUUGUUUUGCGCUGAACAGGGCAACUGCUACAGCCACUCAUUCUGGAAUUAGGCCUGGUAAGUUUCAGCAAUUCAGAUUCAGAGUUGAACCUUGAAAUCUCUCUAUAUACUUCACGGGUCUCUAUACCUGGUGGCCCUAUCAGCAACGUUAGCCUUGGUCCUUCCAUGAUGGACUCCUAAUCUCCUGAACCUGACUGCACAGGGCAGCCUGCUCAGAAGUUAUCACACUGAGUCAGUGAAGGCGUGUGCCAUAUAAAAACAGGGCUGUUUUUAAAGUUUAAUUUUGCAGAUUAGGUAAUCAUUCUUGGAAUUGGUAUGAUGCAUAAUUAAUUGAUCCCAUCUGAUACAUAAAACCCAUAGAGGAAGUUUGAUGUUAAACCAGUUGUGGUCACAUCAGCUGCUAAACAAUAGACUAUCUACAUCUUCCGAGCCUCCUCUCCUAACUAUUCUGCUUCAACUGUCUUCACCUGUAUCUAGUCAUUGCUUUUCUUCUACUGAAUGUUUCCAACAAGUGGUACAAACCAAAUAGAACUUUAGAGUCUGAAAGACCAAGUAGCUCAGAACCUGUGAGCUAUGGAACUGAGAAAGUUGACUUGGCCUCCUGGAGCCCCUGUUAGUAAAAUAAGGACUGAUGUGAAGUUUAAAUGAAAUAAUUUAAAUAUAUAUGAAAUAAGAUAAUUUAAAUAUUUAUAUAUGCUCUUGCAUAUAUAAAUGCUAUCUGAGAAUAUUAACUAUCACCUUCACUUAGGGUAAAGGUAGUAUAAGUCCCUGAGGUGGUCUUUAGAGCACACAUAGCAAGUAGAGGGCAGUAGUAGUAUGAACCUGCCUAAGUGCCAAGACCUGUGCUCCACCAUUCCUUAGGUUACACAUUACAAAAGAAACCUGUGUGCUAAGUGUUAAUCUCACCUCCAUUUUACACAGAGAGCACUUUAGAUUGAGGUCCCUGACAGGUAGACAGCUAGUAACAGUAAAUCCUGAUCUGAAGUCUGAGCUGGCUCCCAAAGUGAAAGAGUGCCAGGUUUAAGAGAGGUUUCCAUGACUAUAGUAAAGUAGAAGCUUUUUUUUUUUUUUUUGUAGCUAAGGACUGGCAGAGUGAAACUGUGGACCAGAAGACAGCUUUUUGGAAGUGGGACUUAGAAGCCAGACCUCCAGACCUCCAGGCCUUUUUUUUUUUUCACUUUAUAGUCUAUGUCUUUCUGCAGAGAGGAGCUACUUGAUUAAAGAUCACGAAGGACG